Long non-coding RNA from Ornithorhynchus anatinus (platypus), 775 nucleotides. RefSeq lists it as uncharacterized. The record is from RefSeq and is a predicted model, not a curated record. NCBI's taxonomy places the organism in Eukaryota, Metazoa, Chordata, Mammalia, Monotremata, Ornithorhynchidae. The transcript is spliced from 2 exons.
GAACCCAAGUCCUCUGAUUCUCAAGCCCGUGCUCUUUCCAAUGAGCCACGCUGCUUCUUAUUUGAUUACCAUUAUCCCUGAAGAAUAAAGAUCCGUAAGGAAAAGGGGUUUUAUCGGUUUGCUUUCUAAACCAGAACUUGAUUUGCACACCCUUAAGAAAAAUUGAUCCAUUUCUUAGGACCGUGACUCUACCGAGCUACCGAGACAACGUCCUAUGUAGAAAAUCAAUUUUUCCCGUCUCGGGCUGGUGUGCCUAUUUAAUUAACUUAGGAGCUUAAUGGAGACAAACAUGAUUAAAACACGGUUUGAGAAGGUUUUCAAAACAGUCAUUUAUUACAUAUAAUAAUGUUUCAUCAGGGAUCUCCCCGUGGUAAUUAUGGUUUGCUGAGGUUUAGUUUCGCACUGCUGUUGGAUUGAACCUCCAAGGUGAUUAGUGCGGCGAUCCUAUCAUCAGCUUCUAACUACGAGGCCUACCCGCUACCACAUGCUACCAUAGUCCUACCGUGCCCAAACAGCACGGGCACCACUGCCUAGUUACCGCCUUCAUGAGGGACCCUGGAAAAACCUCAGUCAGCGUUCAGGGAAUGACAACAGACCACGCUCAAAAACGAAAGAUGGCGAAAACAUUGAUAUAGCCCGCACAGAUGAAGAAGUACAGAAUAUUGAAACGUGACACCAGAAGCACUCGACAGUAGAGUGCAUAAUAGCGAUGAUCUAGAGUGCUUGUCAUUAUUCCUGGAAUUGGUAAAAAAAAAAUAAAAUGCCUUUUGCUAGA